This 372-nucleotide ribosomal RNA is filed under the name uncultured organism. RNAcentral's name for it is "bacterial SSU rRNA". It matches the Rfam family "Bacterial small subunit ribosomal RNA", at positions 526 to 896 of the family's 1533-position model. The record is from RNAcentral.
CAGAGACUGCAAGCGUUAUUCGGAUUCACUGGGCGUAAAGGGUGCGCAGGCGGUUGGGUGUGUCAGAUGUGAAAUCCCGAGGCUCAACCUCGGAACUGCGUCUGAAACUACUCGACUAGAGUACUGGAGAGGGUAACGGAAUUCACGGUGUAGCAGUGAAAUGCGUAGAUAUCGUGAGGAACACCAGAGGCGAAGGCGGUUACCUGGACAGUUACUGACGCUCAGGCACGAAAGCAUGGGGAGCAAAAGGGAUCAGAUACCCCUGUAGUCCAUGCCCUAAACGGUGCACACUAGGUCUUAGCGGAUUCGACCCCACUAGGGCCCAAGCUAACGCGUUAAGUGUGCCGCCUGAGGACUACGGUCGCAAGACUA